This 851-nucleotide ribosomal RNA is filed under the name Ochrolechia oregonensis. RNAcentral describes it as "SSU rRNA". It matches the Rfam family "Bacterial small subunit ribosomal RNA", at positions 351 to 1281 of the family's 1533-position model. Lineage: Eukaryota; Fungi; Ascomycota; Lecanoromycetes; Pertusariales; Ochrolechiaceae. The record is from RNAcentral.
ACUUGGAGGAAUGUAUAGCGAAAGCUAGUUGCAUUAACUAACUGUUAAUGCAGAAGCGACUAUGUCGUGUAAAGUUCAGGGUAGAGUUAUGAUAAUGACAUUUUCUAUCUGUGUGUCUCGACCAACCUACGUGCCAGCAGUCGCGGUAAUACGUUAGAGACUAGUGUUAGUCGUCUUUAGUAGGUUUAAAGGGUACCUAGACGGUCAUUACAGCCCCUAAAGGGUACUGUUUGAACUAGAGUUUUAUGAGAGGGGGGGUGUACUAAUGGUGUAGAGAUGAAAUUCAGUCAUACCAUUACGAACAGGCAACAGCGAAGGCAACCCUUUAUGUGUAAACUGACGUUGAAGGACGAAGGCUUAGUCAACCAACAGGAUUAGAUACCCUAGCAGUCUGAGCAGACAAUGAUGAAUGUCAUAGACUUAAACGUGAACGUGAGUAAUAGAGUGAGAUCUAUCUCACUAUGUCUAUAAAUGAAAGUGUAAGCAUUCCACCUCAAGAGUAACGUGGCAACGCGGAAACUGAAAUCAUUAGACCGUUUCUGAAACCAGUAGUGAAGUAUGUUGUUUAAUUUGAUAAUCCGCGGUACACCUUACCACAAUUUGUAUGUUUAGUAAUAGAUACAAGAGUUGCACGGCUGUCUUCAGUUAAUGUCGUGAGAUUUUGGUUAGUUCCAUAAAAUUAACGUAAACCCUUACUUUAUUUUAGUAAAUAGAGUAGUUCACCGCUAUAUUGGAUAUGAUAAAAGGGACUAAGACAAGUCAUCAUGGCCCGAAUAUUGUGGGCUAUAGACGUGCCACAUGCGCCUAUACAAAGGGAUGCGAAAUUGUGAAAAUGAGCUAAUCCCCAAAAA